This 451-nucleotide ribosomal RNA is filed under the name uncultured bacterium. RNAcentral's name for it is "bacterial SSU rRNA". It matches the Rfam family "Bacterial small subunit ribosomal RNA", at positions 29 to 524 of the family's 1533-position model. The record is from RNAcentral.
AACGAACGCUGGCGGCAUGCCUAACACAUGCAAGUCGAACGAGACCUUCGGGUCUAGUGGCGCACGGGUGCGUAACGCGUGGGAAUCUGCCCUUGGGUGCGGAAUAACUUCUCGAAAGGGAUGCUAAUACCGCAUAAUGUCGUAAGACCAAAGAUUUAUCGCCCAAGGAUGAGCCCGCGUAAGAUUAGCUAGUUGGUGGGGUAAAAGCCUACCAAGGCGACGAUCUUUAGCUGGUCUGAGAGGAUGAUCAGCCACACUGGGACUGAGACACGGCCCAGACUCCUACGGGAGGCAGCAGUGGGGAAUAUUGGACAAUGGGCGAAAGCCUGAUCCAGCAAUGCCGCGUGAGUGAUGAAGGCCCUAGGGUUGUAAAGCUCUUUUACCAGGGAUGAUAAUGACAGUACCUGGAGAAUAAGACUCCGGCUAACUCCGUGCCAGCAGCCGCGGUAAU